RNAcentral lists this ribosomal RNA (34 nucleotides) under Fomes fomentarius. Its description in RNAcentral is "partial 28S ribosomal RNA". Lineage: Eukaryota; Fungi; Basidiomycota; Agaricomycetes; Polyporales; Polyporaceae. The record is from RNAcentral.
UCAGGUAGGACUACCCGCUGAACUUAAGCAUAUC